RNAcentral lists this ribosomal RNA (1016 nucleotides) under Lactobacillus gasseri. RNAcentral's name for it is "bacterial SSU rRNA". It matches the Rfam family "Bacterial small subunit ribosomal RNA", at positions 73 to 1061 of the family's 1533-position model. The record is from RNAcentral. Lineage: Bacteria; Bacillati; Bacillota; Bacilli; Lactobacillales; Lactobacillaceae.
UUGGUGCUUGCACCAAAUGAAACUAGAUACAAGCGAGCGGCGGACGGGUGAGUAACACGUGGGUAACCUGCCCAAGAGACUGGGAUAACACCUGGAAACAGAUGCUAAUACCGGAUAACAACACUAGACGCAUGUCUAGAGUUUAAAAGAUGGUUCUGCUAUCACUCUUGGAUGGACCUGCGGUGCAUUAGCUAGUUGGUAAGGUAACGGCUUACCAAGGCAAUGAUGCAUAGCCGAGUUGAGAGACUGAUCGGCCACAUUGGGACUGAGACACGGCCCAAACUCCUACGGGAGGCAGCAGUAGGGAAUCUUCCACAAUGGACGCAAGUCUGAUGGAGCAACGCCGCGUGAGUGAAGAAGGGUUUCGGCUCGUAAAGCUCUGUUGGUAGUGAAGAAAGAUAGAGGUAGUAACUGGCCUUUAUUUGACGGUAAUUACUUAGAAAGUCACGGCUAACUACGUGCCAGCAGCCGCGGUAAUACGUAGGUGGCAAGCGUUGUCCGGAUUUAUUGGGCGUAAAGCGAGUGCAGGCGGUUCAAUAAGUCUGAUGUGAAAGCCUUCGGCUCAACCGGAGAAUUGCAUCAGAAACUGUUGAACUUGAGUGCAGAAGAGGAGAGUGGAACUCCAUGUGUAGCGGUGGAAUGCGUAGAUAUAUGGAAGAACACCAGUGGCGAAGGCGGCUCUCUGGUCUGCAACUGACGCUGAGGCUCGAAAGCAUGGGUAGCGAACAGGAUUAGAUACCCUGGUAGUCCAUGCCGUAAACGAUGAGUGCUAAGUGUUGGGAGGUUUCCGCCUCUCAGUGCUGCAGCUAACGCAUUAAGCACUCCGCCUGGGGAGUACGACCGCAAGGUUGAAACUCAAAGGAAUUGACGGGGGCCCGCACAAGCGGUGGAGCAUGUGGUUUAAUUCGAAGCAACGCGAAGAACCUUACCAGGUCUUGACAUCCAGUGCAAACCUAAGAGAUUAGGUGUUCCCUUCGGGGACGCUGAGACAGGUGGUGCAUGGCUGUCGUCAGCUC